RNAcentral lists this ribosomal RNA (423 nucleotides) under uncultured bacterium. Its description in RNAcentral is "partial 16S ribosomal RNA". It matches the Rfam family "Bacterial small subunit ribosomal RNA", at positions 361 to 776 of the family's 1533-position model. The record is from RNAcentral.
AUAUUGGACAAUGGGGGAAACCCUGAUCCAGCCAACACGCGUGCAUGAUGAAGGCCUUCGGGUUGUAAAGUACUUUUGGUAUAGAAGAAAAGGUAUCGCCUAAUACAGGAUACUGCGGACGGUAUCUGCAGAAUAAGCACCGGCGAACUACGAGCCAGCAGCACAGGUAUUACGUAGGGUGCAAGCGUAAAUCGGAAUUACUGGGCGUAAAGCGUGUGUAGGCGGUUCGGAAUGAAAGAUGUGAAAUCCCAGGGCUCAACCUUGGAACUGCAUUUUUAACUGCCGAGCUAGAGUAUGUCAGAGGGGGGUAGAAAUCCACGUGUAGCAGUGAAAUGCGUAGAUAUGUGGAGGAAUACCGAUGGCGAAGGCAGCCCCCUGGGAUAAUACUGACGCUCAGACACGAAAGCGUGGGGAGCAAACAGG